Long non-coding RNA from Papaver somniferum (opium poppy), 906 nucleotides. RefSeq lists it as uncharacterized. The transcript has 5 exons. NCBI's taxonomy places the organism in Eukaryota, Viridiplantae, Streptophyta, Magnoliopsida, Ranunculales, Papaveraceae. The record is from RefSeq and is a predicted model, not a curated record.
GAGCUAAAAAGCAACUGGGAGGAUAAGUUAGAUUGGUCUGGGAAGAUUAUAAGCAAAUGGAAUUUACACAAUGCGUUAUAAGUGAAACUCUUCGGCUGGGAAAUGUAGUCAGAUUUGUACAUUAAAUCUCUGUCGGCUUCGGAAUUCUUCUCUAAAUCUCUGUCUCCGUCUAAUAAUCCGACGUUAAUUUCGAUAAAAAAAUCGAAAAUGAAGGCUCUUAUUCUUGUUGGAGGUUUCGGAACCAGGCUAAGGCCGUUGACACUUAUUGUCCCUAAGACACUCAUUGAUUUCGCUAACAAACCAAUGAUUCUACAUCAGAUGUGUUAUGCCGAUGAAGACACCAACAAGACAUUACAAACAUGCGGUGUUAGUCAAAAUCUCAAUUUGAUACUGGUGUUGUUCCAAUUUAGUGUAUAGAUAUUCAUCCAGAAGUCUGGCAGGCUCUUUGAAUCCUACAAGGGAAUUGAGGAGUAUCCUGGAUGGCAAUCAAAGAAUAAUGUUUUAGAUCAUGGUGGAGAAGAAACACAACCAAUUUCAUCCAUCACUUCCUGAUGCAGGGGAAACCCAUCAAUCCAUCACUUCCCUACUUAGGUUUGGCAAUAUUUUGAUUUUUAUUAAGAACACCCUAUUACUAAUUUUUCAUCUGGAUUUUUUUUGUGAAUUGACAUUACCUAAGUUUUAUAUGCACGCUGCAAAUGGAUUUCUAAUAAUUUGGUACUUUCGGGCAUAAAUUUGCUUAAAUUAACUCCAUUAGGUGUAAAAAAAUAUUUUCUCAUGUUUGAGGAUGGAGGAUGAAAAUGUGAGUGGGUUUAAAUUAGAUAACUCUCUGUUAGAAUCAACAUAGUUAACCAAAAUGUUGGCGACUUUAGACUUUAUGUAACUGUUAGCUUAAUUUCUUUAAAAUUA